Molecule: RNase P RNA, 363 nt
Filed under: Planctomycetota bacterium
Lineage: Bacteria; Pseudomonadati; Planctomycetota
Description: partial RNase P RNA component class A
Rfam family: Bacterial RNase P class A
About the family: Ribonuclease P (RNase P) is a ubiquitous endoribonuclease, found in archaea, bacteria and eukarya as well as chloroplasts and mitochondria. Its best characterised activity is the generation of mature 5'-ends of tRNAs by cleaving the 5'-leader elements of precursor-tRNAs. Cellular RNase Ps are ribonucleoproteins.
Source: RNAcentral
GAAGCGGGUGAGGCGGCCGCUCCCGCCCUGAAAAGGCGGGGGAGGAAAGUCCGGACUCCGCAGGGCAGGGUGGUGGCUAACGGCCACCGUCCGUGAGGAUAGGGAAAGUGCCACAGAAACCACACCGCCCAAGGAGGCGCCUCAUGGCUCCUCCCGGCAAGGGUGAAAUGGCGAGGUAAGAGCUCACCGCGGGGCCGGAGACGGUCCCGGCAGGGUAAACCCCACCCGGAGAAAGGCCAAAUAGGGGAGGAGGCGCGGCCCGCGCCGCCAGCACUCCCGGGUUGGCCGUUCGAGGCCGGCCGCGAGGCCGGUCCCAGAGAAAUGGCCGCCGCCGCGCACUCGCGCGGGGACAGAAUCCGGCUU